GAUGAACGCUGGCGGCGUGCCUAAUACAUGCAAGUCGAGCGAACGGACGAGAAGCUUGCUUCUCUGAUGUUAGCGGCGGACGGGUGAGUAACACGUGGAUAACCUACCUAUAAGACUGGGAUAACUUCGGGAAACCGUAGCUAAUACCGGAUAAUAUUUUGAACCGCAUGGUUCAAAAGUGAAAGACGGUCUUGCUGUCACUUAUAGAUGGAUCCGCGCUGCAUUAGCUAGUUGGUAAGGUACCGGCUUACCAAGGCAACGAUGCAUAGCCGACCUGAGAGGGUGAUCGGCCACACUGGAACUGAGACACGGUCCAGACUCCUACGGGAGGCAGCAGUAGGGAAUCUUCCGCAAAGGGCGAAAGCCUGACGGAGCAACGCCGCGUGAGUGAUGAAGGUCUUCGGAUCGUAAAGCUCUGUUAUUAGGGAAGAACAUAAGUAUAAGUAACUGUGCACAUCUUGACGGUACCUAAUCAAAAAGCAACGGCUAACUACGUG
RNAcentral lists this ribosomal RNA (497 nucleotides) under uncultured bacterium. RNAcentral describes it as "partial 16S ribosomal RNA". It matches the Rfam family "Bacterial small subunit ribosomal RNA", at positions 28 to 507 of the family's 1533-position model. The record is from RNAcentral.